UUCGCUCACAGCGAAGAAGAUGACGAUAUAGUAUGAAGCAGAGCAGAAGACAGUGUCCUUCGGGACAUCCGAUAAAAUUGGAACGAUACAGAGAAGAUUAGCAUGGCCCCUGCGCAAGGAUGACACGCAUAAAUCGAGAAAUGGUCCAAAUUUUUUUUUCUUCCGCUGCGAUCAAAGAUCUGAUCUUGAAAAUUUGUGUUUCUAUGGCUUCUUCCUCUGUCUUCUUCCUUCUUCUACACUUUCUGUCUCUUUCAUACGUUUUGGGUGUUGCUCAAACAGUAAAGAGGUGUGAAUGUGUGAUAGUAAUUCGUGGAUAUAGACUUUUGAACAGAUUGAUAUUUGGUGCAACUUUGAGUCUUGGUGGUUGAUAUUCUAUUAGAAUUGAAGGUGCUGGAGAUUUUUGGAUGUGCCAAGAGGGGUUAUUCUUCAAUCCACUUUUUGUUUAAUCGGCAAGAGAGGUUUGCUAUUACCUUAAAAACUUUGGACUCUUGCUCAUGGAAGUAGUCUUAGUUGGCUAUGUUAGAAUAAAUUAGGGAUUUUAAUUUCGAAGAUUUGUUGUAAUUGAUUGUAAUCUUCUAUAAUUAUAUUUGAUGGUAUGUUAGAAUUAGGGGUGGCAAUUUGUGUUUACGUAUCAAAUCAGGUUGUGUAAGGGCAUGGGUAUAAGACUAUAUAGGUCAACC
Molecule: non-coding RNA, 680 nt
Organism: Corylus avellana
Lineage: Eukaryota; Viridiplantae; Streptophyta; Magnoliopsida; Fagales; Betulaceae
Source: RefSeq, a predicted model, not a curated record